GCUAUAAUGCAGUCGAGCGAACAGAUAAGGAGCUUGCUCCUUUGACGUUAGCGGCGGACGGGUGAGUAACACGUGGGUAACCUACCUAUAAGACUGGGAUAACUUCGGGAAACCGGAGCUAAUACCGGAUAACAUUUGGAACCGCAUGGUUCUAAAGUGAAAGAUGGUUUUGCUAUCACUUAUAGAUGGACCCGCGCCGUAUUAGCUAGUUGGUAAGGUAACGGCUUACCAAGGCGACGAUACGUAGCCGACCUGAGAGGGUGAUCGGCCACACUGGAACUGAGACACGGUCCAGACUCCUACGGGAGGCAGCAGUAGGGAAUCUUCCGCAAUGGGCGAAAGCCUGACGGAGCAACGCCGCGUGAGUGAUGAAGGGUUUCGGCUCGUAAAACUCUGUUAUUAGGGAAGAACAAAUGUGUAAGUAACUGUGCACAUCUUGACGGUACCUAAUCAGAAAGCCACGGCUAACUACGUGCCAGCAGCCGCGGUAAUACGUAGGUGGCAAGCGUUAUCCGGAAUUAUUGGGCGUAAAGCGCGCGUAGGCGGUUUCUUAAGUCUGAUGUGAAAGCCCACGGCUCAACCGUGGAGGGUCAUUGGAAACUGGGAAACUUGAGUGCAGAAGAGGAAAGUGGAAUUCCAUGUGUAGCGGUGAAAUGCGCAGAGAUAUGGAGGAACACCAGUGGCGAAGGCGACUUUCUGGUCUGUAACUGACGCUGAUGUGCGAAAGCGUGGGGAUCAAACAGGAUUAGAUACCCUGGUAGUCCACGCCGUAAACGAUGAGUGCUAGUGUUAGGGGGUUUCCGCCCUUAGUGGCUGCAGCUAACGCAUUAGCACUCCGCCUGGGGAGUACGACCGCAAGUGAAACUCAAGGAAUGACGGGACCCGCCCAAGCGGUGG
RNAcentral lists this ribosomal RNA (897 nucleotides) under Staphylococcus saprophyticus. Its description in RNAcentral is "bacterial SSU rRNA". It matches the Rfam family "Bacterial small subunit ribosomal RNA", at positions 46 to 935 of the family's 1533-position model. The record is from RNAcentral. Lineage: Bacteria; Bacillati; Bacillota; Bacilli; Caryophanales; Staphylococcaceae.